GAUGAACGCUAGCGGCAGGCCUAACACAUGCAAGUCGAGGGGCAGCACGGUGUAGCAAUACACUGGUGGCGACCGGCGCACGGGUGCGUAACGCGUAUGCAACCUACCCAUAACAGGGGGAUAACACUGAGAAAUUGGUGCUAAUACCGCAUAAGCCCACGACCUGGCAUCGGGUUGAGGGAAAAGGAGCAAUCCGCUUUGAGAUGGCCUCGCGUCCGAUUAGCUAGUUGGUGAGGUAACGGCCCACCAAGGCGACGAUCGGUAGCCGGACUGAGAGGUUGAACGGCCACAUUGGGACUGAGACACGGCCCAG
RNAcentral lists this ribosomal RNA (313 nucleotides) under uncultured bacterium. Its description in RNAcentral is "bacterial SSU rRNA". It matches the Rfam family "Bacterial small subunit ribosomal RNA", at positions 28 to 334 of the family's 1533-position model. The record is from RNAcentral.